UACGUAGGUGGCAAGCGUUGUCCGGAAUUACUGGGCGUAAAGCGUGCGUAGACGGCUAUCUAAGUCGGGUGUGAAAGCCCCGGGCUCAACCUGGGAAUUGCAUUCGAGACUGAAUAGCUAGGGUACGGUAGAGGGAAGUGGAAUUUCCGGUGUAGCGGUGAAAUGCGAAGAUAUCGGAAGGAACAUCAGUGGCGAAAGCGACUUCCUGGACCAGUACCGACGUUCAGGCACGAAAGCGUGGGGAGCAAACAGG
This 253-nucleotide ribosomal RNA is filed under the name uncultured bacterium. RNAcentral's name for it is "partial 16S ribosomal RNA". It matches the Rfam family "Bacterial small subunit ribosomal RNA", at positions 524 to 776 of the family's 1533-position model. The record is from RNAcentral.